This is a non-coding RNA of Caenorhabditis elegans, 182 nucleotides long. The record is from Ensembl. NCBI's taxonomy places the organism in Eukaryota, Metazoa, Nematoda, Chromadorea, Rhabditida, Rhabditidae.
AUGGUUGAAACAUCAUGCUAGAUCAGGAGGUGAUAGACACAAAAACGACAGUCGCUUCUUUUGCCGCCGCUCCCCUCUCCGAUUCUUUUUCUUCUUCUCAGCCUGCCCCGAUCAACCUCAAUCGGCACGAUGUUGAGUUUCGGCGGUUAUUUCUUCCCAUUCGUCACUGAGAAAAAAAAAGA